This 471-nucleotide ribosomal RNA is filed under the name uncultured organism. RNAcentral describes it as "partial 16S ribosomal RNA". It matches the Rfam family "Bacterial small subunit ribosomal RNA", at positions 334 to 797 of the family's 1533-position model. The record is from RNAcentral.
CACUCCUACGGGAGGCAGCAGUGGGGAAUUUUGGACAAUGGGCGAAAGCCUGAUCCAGCAAUGCCGCGUGAGUGAAGAAGGCCUUCGGGUUGUAAAGCUCUUUUGUCAGGGAAGAAACGGUGAGAGCUAAUAUCUCUUGCUAAUGACGGUACCUGAAGAAUAAGCACCGGCUAACUACGUGCCAGCAGCCGCGGUAAUACGUAGGGUGCAAGCGUUAAUCGGAAUUACUGGGCGUAAAGCGUGCGCAGGCGGUUUUGUAAGUCUGAUGUGAAAUCCCCGGGCUCAACCUGGGAAUUGCAUUGGAGACUGCAAGGCUAGAAUCUGGCAGAGGGGGGUAGAAUUCCACGUGUAGCAGUGAAAUGCGUAGAUAUGUGGAGGAACACCGAUGGCGAAGGCAGCCCCCUGGGUCAAGAUUGACGCUCAUGCACGAAAGCGUGGGGAGCAAACAGGAUUAGAAACCCGGGUAGUCCC